RNAcentral lists this ribosomal RNA (813 nucleotides) under Triticum aestivum (bread wheat). RNAcentral's name for it is "partial small subunit ribosomal RNA". The record is from RNAcentral. Lineage: Eukaryota; Viridiplantae; Streptophyta; Magnoliopsida; Poales; Poaceae.
AUGCAAGUGAUAGACAGCAAUGCUCCAAAUAUCUCCAUUUUUCACUUCUCUGGUAGUUUAGUAUCGAUUUCAUUCGGAAGUGCAUUGCAAGUAAAGAAUGUACACAUGGAGUGUUUAGAAUUUGGUCAGUCCAACAUUGUCUUGCAUGCUCGGACCAAGCUUCUGUCCUAUGCACCAAAUGUUGAAACGCUUGUCAUAUCCUCGCCUAAUGAGAUGAUCAGUACACCAACGCUAUCUCGCAGAUUCCUCCACCUCAAGUACUUGCAUAUUUCUCUAAUUGGAAAUGAAGCUAUUUCACCAGAUUAUGAUUACCUUUCUCUGGUUUCUUUUCUUGAAGCUUCUCCUCGCCUGGAGACUUUCAUCUUGGAAGUACGUCAGCCUUGCAUGGAGCAUGAGUCAGUUCUUUGGAAUGCCUCGCAACUGAGGCGACUACCACAACAGCGCCACACCAGCCUAAAGAGUGUGACAAUAGUGGGCUUCAGCUCCGCAAAGAGCUUGGUCAAGUUGACAUGCCACAUUGUGGAGAACGCGACAUCGCUCGAGCGCCUCACCUUGGACACUAGUCAUGGCUGUCAGAGUUCUGGAGGGUGUAGCGUCAAUAUACCUCAGAGAAUGUACUAUACGGAGAGUGGUACUCUCGAGGGGGCCACACCUUACAUGUGCAUCCCAAUGGGGGAGGAUAUCAUCAUGGAGACCGUCAAGGCGCGUUUGGCUAUCAGAGUACAUGUCACGGGGAAAGUUCCCUCCAGUGUGGUGUUAGAAGUCGUGGAGCCUUGCAGUUGGUGCUUCGGUGUUGAAGAUUUAGAUGCCUGA